GAUGAACGCUGGCGGCGUGCCUAAUACAUGCGAGUCGAGCGAACAGACGAGGAGCUUGCUCCUCUGACGUUAGCGGCGGACGGGUGAGUAACACGUGGAUAACCUACCUAUAAGACUGGGAUAACUUCGGGAAACCGGAGCUAAUACCGGAUAACAUGUUGAACCGCAUGGUUCAACAGUGAAAGACGGUCUUGCUGUCGCUUAUAGAUGGAUCCGCGCCGCAUUAGCUAGUUGGUAAGGUAACGGCUUACCAAGGCAACGAUGCGUAGCCGACCUGAGAGGGUGAUCGGCCACACUGGAACUGAGACACGGUCCAGACUCCUACGGGAGGCAGCAGUAGGGAAUCUUCCGCAAUGGGCGAAAGCCUGACGGAGCAACGCCGCGUGAGUGAAGAAGGUCUUCGGAUCGUAAAACUCUGUUAUUAGGGAAGAACAAAUGUGUAAGUAACUAUGCACGUCUUGACGGUACCUAAUCAGAAAGCCACGGCUAACUACGUG
RNAcentral lists this ribosomal RNA (497 nucleotides) under uncultured bacterium. RNAcentral describes it as "partial 16S ribosomal RNA". It matches the Rfam family "Bacterial small subunit ribosomal RNA", at positions 28 to 507 of the family's 1533-position model. The record is from RNAcentral.